This is a non-coding RNA of Rattus norvegicus (Norway rat), 7957 nucleotides long. NCBI's taxonomy places the organism in Eukaryota, Metazoa, Chordata, Mammalia, Rodentia, Muridae. The record is from RefSeq and is a predicted model, not a curated record.
CUUUCUGAGCUAUCACUGCGGAGUAGUUGGGAGCCUUUCUGUUUGCUUUUGCUUUUGUCUCUCCCUAUAGCCCAAGCUGACCUCAAACUCAGGAACUUCCUGGCUUGGUCUCCUGAAUACUGGCAUUCCUGGCAAGUCUCCCCACUCCCACAAAGUUCCUUUCUACUCUCACCUGUAAUUAGGAAGGGAAGCCUUCACUGUUAGUUUGUAUCACUGUGAUCAAAUAUUUGUCAGGAAAGAGGAGAAAGAUUUAUUUUGGUUCUCUCCAUUUGAAAGGGUUCACUCCAUGGUUUCUUGGCCUAUGUUCUCGUGGAAGGGGAGAUUGUUCCCAUCGAGGUGAAGGACAUGGAAUAGCAAAAGAAGGGAGCAGAAAGCAGACAUAGCCUUCAAAGACCUGCUCCCUUCAGAGGUUUCUGUGACUUGCUUCCUCCAGGGAUGCCCGAUCUCCCAAAGUGUCUGCAUCUUCCCUGGCUUAGUUAGGCUGAUUAUUGCUGUGACGAAUGCCAUGACCAAAGCAGGCUGGGAGGAAAGGUGUUUGGUUUUGGCUCACACUUCCACAUUGUAGUGCACCAUUGAAGGAAGUCAGGACAGGAACUCAAACAGGUGUGUCCUGGAGGCAGGAGCUGAUGCAGGGGCCAUGCAGGAGUGCUGCCUACUGACUUGAUUCUCAUGGCUUGCUCAGCCUGCUCAGCCCGCUCGGCCCAGGGAUGACACCACCCACAAGGGCUGGGCCCUCCACCAUUGAUCGCUAAUGAAGAAAAUGCCUUAUAGGUUUGCCUACAGCCUAGUCUUAAAGAGGCAUUUUCUCAGUUGAGGGUCUCUCCUUUCAGAUGGCUUUAGCUUGUGUCAAACUGACAUAAAACUAUCUAGCACACUCCCUAAAUGACAGCAUGAACUGGGGCUCAAGCAUCCAACGCAUGCCUCAUUUACAGGUUUCUUACUUUUUUUCCUGUGAUCUUUGCUUUAAGGUACCUUUUAGGUCUGUUUACUUUCAUGUUGCAGUGAAUUGUUUUGUGGUUGGUUGGUUAUUUAUUUAUUUAUUUAUUUAUUUAUUUAUUUAUUUAUUGUGAGUACACUAUAGCUGUCUUCAGACACACCAGAAGAGGGCAUUGGAUCCCAUUACAGAUGGUUUUGAGCCACCAUGUGGUUGCUGGGAAUUGAACUCAGGACCUCUGGAAGAGCAGUCGGUGCUCUUAACCGCUGAGCCACCUCUCCAGCCCAAUGGUUACUUCUUAUGAAAAGUAAAAUUAGGGGCUAGAGAGGUGGCUCAGUGUGCUCACUGUGCAGGCACAAAGACUUGAGUGUGGAACCCCUGGCAUCCAUGUAAAAGACAGGUGCAGUGGUGUGUUUCUAACUGUGGCACCAGUAGCAGAAAAAGGUAGAUUGUGGAACUUUCUGGCCAGCCAGUCUCACUCAGAGCAAGGUCUAGAUUUAAUAAGGGACCCUGUCUCAAAGAUGAGCAGUAGAGGAAGACCCCUGGUUUCGACAUCUGGCAUCCAUAUGUGCAUGUAUAGGUGAAUACACACACAGAUGAAUUUUCCUUUUUCUGAAUUAAAUUAAAAAAGUAAAAUCAGUAUUAUACUGAAAAUUCGAAACUAAUAAAAACAAACAAACAAAAAAAAAACAAAAAACUGGGGGUUGGGGAUUUGGCUCAGUGGUAGAGCCUUGCCUAGCUUGCCUAGCAAGCGCAAUGCCCUGGGUUCGAUCCCCAGCUCCGAAAAAAAAAAAAAAAAAAAAAACAAACAAAAAAAAAAAAACAAAAAUUGGGCUGGAGAGAUGGCUCAGCAGUUAAGAGGACUGGCUGCUCUUCCAGAGGUCCUGAGUUCAAUUCCCAGCACCCACAUGAUGUUCACAAACCAUCUCUCUUCUGGUGUGUCAUCAACAGUGUACUCAUACAUUUAAGGGGAGGGGGUGGAUUUAAAAUAACCCUAUUUGUCUCUGGGUUCUUUUUUCUUGAGUUUAUAUACUCAAGAAAUAUACUUGGGUUUAUUUAAGAUUCUAGAGUAUUCUAGAGGAUGCUUUAUUUAAGAUUCUAGAGGAAGUGGGUGCUUCGUGAUCUGGCUCCCAUGUCAGAGACAUCUGGUUGGCUUGUUUAAGAGCACAUACAUAGAAAGCUUUCGGACUGUACCAACCAACCACUGAUUUAGUAAAUGUCUAUUGAGUGCUUACUGUGGGCCUGAUCCUGUGGAGGGUAGGAGUGAGCAGGACUAAGUCUUUGCACUCAGGGAUAUAAAGACAAAAGGAAGUAUAAAGACUGAUGUAUUCUGCCAAGUAAGUCCUCCUUCAUUAGCAGAGACAGCCAUUUGAGGGAGUGAGCCAUGUUCUGACAAGGAGUAUGCCUGGUAAGAGAUAUGCAUGUUUCUAAGAGAAUGUCACACCAUAGGAUUUAUGGAUGAUUUAGAUGAAGGAAUAAAGAUUUUGGUGUCAUUCCUCAAGCACUCUCCACAUUUUGUCCCUUUUUCUUACUUUGCUGUUUUUUAGACAGGGUGUUGAGUUCUAGGUGUCCUGGAACUCAUCAAGCAAGCUAGGCUAGGUGGCCUGUAAGUCUGCCUUCCAGCCUUGCUGAUGCUAGGAUUACAAGUGCAUACCGUGCCAUGAUGCCUGGUCUGGACCUCAAUUUGUAGACGAGGCUGGCCUUGAAUUCAUGUAGAUCACCUCUGCCUCCUGAGUGUUGAGACUAAAGGUGAGCAUGACCCAUCCAGCCUUCUUUCUUUCUUUUUCUUUUUAAUGUAUGCUGUGGGGCUCAUACUCAGGUCUUUCUUGCUUGUAAGGAAGACACUUUACUGAUUGUGUUCAUCCUCAGCGUUUGUUUCUGUUUUCCUCUGAAUCCUUCCCACUGGCCAUUCAAGAGUGUAUGAUUCAGUCCCUAAGUAUUUGUAGUUAGAUUGAUUUCUAGUUUUAUUCACCUUGAUCUAUGAGUUCCGAGAAAUAAUUCCAAUUCUUCUGUAUUUGCUAAGACUUGCUUUUCAGCCUAGAGUGUAUAUGAUCUGUUUGGGAGGAAGCUCAAGGGCUGCUGAGAAGAAUAAGUUGUAUUCUGUUUUUAUUUAGUAGAAUACUCUGUAGCUCGACGUUAGAUCCAUCUGGUCUGUGGUGUGGCUUAGCUCUGGGGUUUCCUCGUUCUGUUCUACUUUAUGACUGAUCCAGAGAUGAGAUGGAGUUAUUGAAGUAACCCUGUUUUAUCGGACCUAUCAGACCUUUAUGCCCCAUUAGUGAUUGCUUUAUGAACUUGGGAACCCUUGCAUUUGGCACCUGGAUGUUUAUUACUUUUUAUGUCUUGUUUCCUUGAUUAUUACAUAGUAGUCUUCCUCCUGUGUUCUUGGUUUAAAGUAUUCUUCAGAUAACAGAAGAGUUACCCUGCUUAUUCUGGGCUUGCAUUUGUUGAUAGACUGACUUCCAUCAACUAAUUUUCAGUCUGUGCCAGUGCAUUGUUUCCUGGAGAUGGUAGGAGGUUGAAUCUGUUAGUUUUCAUUAGUUAAAAUUAUGUAUAUGUGCUUCUUCGUGAGUGUUGCCCGAGGAGACCAGGGGUGUUGGGUCUCUGCAGCCAGUUACAGGUGAUUGUGAGUCAUCCAGCAUGGGCUACGGGAACCAAAUGUGGGUCCUUUGGAAGAGCAGUACUUGCUUUUAAUUUUGAAGCCAUCUCUUCAGCCCCUGGAGUUGGUUUUUAAAUAUAUUCAGCUUGUUGGCACAUUUUAUUUUUAUUUUAUUUUUUGGUAAGUUGAAUGAGAGUAGUUUUAUUGGUUGUUUUUCUGGUUGGGUGGAUGACUGUUUGCUGUCAGCAUUAGGACUCUGCUAGUUUAGUGUGUUGGAUAUGAUGAAUUCCUCCCUAGUUCUUUGUCAUGUGUUGCUAUCAGGAAAUUUACUCUUUUUAUGUAGUUAUGAUUUUGACUUCAUGUUGACUAUGGUCAUAAAUUGCUUUAGUUUGUUCUUGUCUUGAAGUAUCCUUAAUUCUCUGUCAAUUCUACAAGAUAGCUUUGCUGUUUAUAGCAAUUUAGGUUAGUAAUUAUUUACUGUCAGGAUUUGAAGUUUAUUAUUCCAUGCUUUCCUGCAGAUUAGGGUUGCUGAUGUUAUUUUCAUUGCUGGUCUUUAUGUGUGAACUGGCCUUUUCCUCUCAGAUCUUUGAAUAAUGUUUUAUUCUGUGUCUGUAUAAAUUUUUGAGACACGGUCUUACUGUAGCCUGGCCUAUAACAAACUGUGUGGGUGGACCUGCUUUAACCUCUCAAAAGUUAAGAUUAUGUGUCUGAGCCAUUAUACUUAGCUGAGGUUUUUGUUGUUGUUUCUGUUCUUGUUGGUUAUUGUUAUGUGGAUUUUGUGUGGGGAUGUGUUGUAUGUUCAUGCUCAUGUAGGUGUGUAUGUAUAUACAUGCAUGUUCAGGCCAGAGGUUGAUCCUGGGUAUCUUUCACAGUUCCUCUCCACUUUAUUCUUUGAUUCACUGAACCUAGAGCUUACUGACUGAGCCUACUGCCCAGUGAGCUUCAGGGUUAGCUUGUGUUUCCUCACCUUUUUUCUUAGUGUGGGGUUCAGCUGUGUGCUGCUGUGCUCAGCUUCCAGAUACGUGCUGCUGUGCCUAGCUUUUCUUGUUUGUUUUUGAGACAGGGUCUCUAUGUAGUCUUUGCUGUCCUCGAGCUUGCUAUGGAGACAGGCCGGCCUCAAAUUCACAGAAAUCUUCCUGCCUCUAUUUGGAUUUAAAGUUGGGGUCACUGUACCCAAUCCAGCUUUUAAGUAGGUGCUAGAGAUCCGAAUUCUUGUCCUCAUACUUGUACAAAAAGCACUUUACCCAUUGAGCCAUCUUCCUAGCUUCUGUUUUGCAUUUCUGACAUCUUGAUUAUAAUUAUCAUAGAAAAGUUCUUCCUCAGUGGUGUCUAUUUAGAGUUCUAAAUGCCUUGUAUGUUUGUUUUCUCAUUUUAAAAAUAGGAGUGUUAAUGCCUCUCUUGUGAAGAUUAUUAAGCAUUAAAUUCAUGGCAAAUAGGAUGAAAUCAUUAAGUGAGAGCUAAUUGAGAAUAGAAGUGCCUGUUAUCUGGGCGUGGUGGUGCACAUUUGUACCCAGUGCUUGGAGCCCCAGGCAGGUGGAUCUCUAAGAGUUCAGUGCCAGCCUGACUUAGGAACCAGGAUUUUGGCCAGCCAGGGCUACAUACAGAGACUGUUUCAAAGAAGAAAAGGUACCUAUCAUUUAGAGCCAUGCAUGAGGAUUACAGUUCACAUUAUAUUUCUUUUUUUUUUUUUUUUUUUUUUUUUGUUCGUUCUUUUUUUCGGAGCUGGGGACUGACCCCCAGGGCCUUGCGCUUCCUAGGUAAGCACUCUACCACUGAGCUAAAUCCCCAACCCCUCACAUUAUAUUUCUAAGCCAAACAGGAAAUUUGUCCCUGAAGUUCAUCUUUGUUACAGACAGAUCUUUACAUUGUAGCUACAAUGUUGUGACAGUAUGGGAACACAGCUUGGCCUUUUAGUCGAUUACUACUGUAGCUGGUCUUUGCUACUUUGUGGCUUCUUCUUGUUUCGGUCCUUAUUCCCUACCUUCCAUUUUCACCCCUAUCACUAGAUAGGAGAGAAAGGAUAAAGAGGAGAGAGAAAAAAAUCCUGAAUCUCUUUUCUUUCUUUUUAUUUCUUCUUUAAGCACGAAUACUAACAAACUGUAUCUAACUCCUCUGAAUGACCAACAAAUGCCACCCCAUCACUUAGGGCUGUAGCAAUAUAUCCUCUGAAAAAUGACCAGAGUUCCAAAGGUCACACAACCACAGAAAUUAUCUCCAGUUGGCAAAGCCACACCUCUGCUAGAGCUCAGGGCAAAUCAUAGUCAUCUGCUGUGAACAGUCCAAAGCGGUUCCAUGUCCCCAUACUUGGAAUUAAAACGAAAACACAUUCUUACAUUUCUGUGUUGUUGUUGUUUUAUUUUUAAGAAAUCAAAAUUCCAAAAUUGUCACUGCAUAUAACAGUUUAUAUAAACAAUCUAUAGGGCUCAUACUUGAAAAAUAAUCCUCUCUAGUCUUAGAAAUUCUGCCUUUUUAUUUUGAUUUUGACCCAGGUGCUAUUAUACAGCUUUGGUGGUAUUGACAUAAUCAAUCAUCUCUCAGCUUAAUAUAGAAAAAUCAGUCAAUAUUUCAGUUUUAUGAAUUCUAUUCUUCCAUAUAUCCUAAUUAAAGCCUUUUUGUUGUUGUUAAAAAUGGGGUCUCACUAUGUCACCCUGGCUGGCCAGGAACUUGCUGUGUAAAACAGGCUGGCCUCAAACUGGUCUGGUCCUUGCCAGGACAGUUUCUGGGCUUGCUAACACAUGGUCAGUGCUUAAUUCUACCUUCCAGACUUUGGCAGUUUCAUGGCCCUCUGGUGUUUGUUUUUGGGUUUGUCUGUCUGGUUUUGUACCAGAUACCCAGAAUAUAUAAAACCUUUAUCCUAAUUCCACCCUCCUUUGACCUUCCUUUUCACCUUUCUUGGAGCUCAGGCUAGUAAAUAUUAUUAGUUUUUGAGUAUAGGUUUUGUUAAUGUGAUUGUUUUAUACCAGAUCUUCUGUCUGCCUCCUUACUGCUGAGAAUACAGACACCUGCCUGUACCAAACCUUUGCCUUUUUGCUUGAAAGGCAAACACAUUACCAACCAAGCUUUUUUUUCUUUACUUAGUAUUUUUAGGGUGGACAGAUAGAGUUAUCAGUUUGUCUGUGGUGGUUUUGAGGCAGGGUUCUAAUAUGUAGCUCAGGCUGCCCUCAAACUUGAGAGUCUACUUUAGCCUUCUGAGUGUCCAUAUUAUAGGUAUAAGUACUGUUCCUAUCUUGUAUAAUGUCCUUUUAGCUUUAUUUGUUUUUAUGUGUGUAACUGUUUUGCUUAAAUGAGUAUGUGUUCCACAUUCUGUGGCCAGAAGAGGACAUUGGAUCCCCUGAGACUGGAGUUACGUAGGCGCUGCCAUUUGUUACUAGAAAUUGCACCCAGCUAGUCUAGUGGAAUAGCCAGUACUCUAACCAUUGAGCCAUCUUUCUAUCCCACUUAUACAAUAUUUUACUGUGCCUGUGUUUUGACUAUGGUGAUAUCACAUUGGCAGUUAAGUUUCAGAUUUUCUUUUCAUAUUUUUAGAUUAGGAAUAUUCAACAUAUGUAAACAUUGAUUAUUGUCAUUGUUCUAGCUACUUUUACUGUAAUUUUGUUUUACUUAACAGAAGCAGCUGGGAUGGUUUUAGCAAGAACUUGCCUUUUUUCCAGGAAGUUUGGGUUUUUUGAUGCAUGAUACUUCCAGCAAUCAGGGAUGGCCUGGAGGAAGGCCAUAGCUAUUUCUGCUGAGCUUGAGGCAGUGCUUGUGGACACUUUGUUCUAACAGUGCUGAUUUACUAGCCAACGUGCCUAUUGCCAUGAUGCAGGCCUUGGCUGUUGGCCACUGUCUUCACUGUGACUGAUCCAUUUACAGCCUGCAGGAAUCAAGUGCCAUCCUGCACAGGCCCCUUGCAUCCCAAACUGAUGGAGGACGGAUGUUCCAGAGUCUGGCAUGCUGUUCUCAUCAGACAGCUGGGUUAUACACAUGUGGCAGGGCUAAGAAUACUUCAUUCCUUAGCCCUUGUGCCAAACCCAUCUUUCAGUCUUUCACAGGGUUUGUGUUUUAUGUAAAUUAUUUCAUGGGCAGAUGCCAGGAUUGUGGAAUAAGAAUAGCCUUCUCGGGCUGGAGGGAUGGCUUAGCAGUUAAGAGCACUUGUUGCUUUUCCCAAGGACCCAAGCUCAGUUCCCAGCACCCGUAGUGGGCAGCUCGCAACUGCCUGUAACUCCAGCUCCAGGGGUCUAGUACCAUAUCCUGGAUCCCAUAGGUUCCCACACAUUCUGAGCAUACAGAGACAGGUGCACACAAACACACGAAAUACACGAUGAAAAAAUGAAGAACAAAGCAACCCUCUCCUUAAAAUGCACAGAGACAGCAUGGACCAGUGGGAUGGCUUAGUAGGUAAAAUUGAACCUUCACACCCAAGAUUAAUCUAAGUUUAAUCCCCAGCA